CAGUAGCCGCGGUAAUACGUAGGGUGCGAGCGUUAAUCGGAAUUACUGGGCGUAAAGCGUGCGCAGGCGGUUAUGUAAGACAGUUGUGAAAUCCCCGGGCUCAACCUGGGAACUGCAUCUGUGACUGCAUAGCUAGAGUACGGUAGAGGGGGAUGGAAUUCCGCGUGUAGCAGUGAAAUGCGUAGAUAUGCGGAGGAGCACCGAUGGCGAAGGCAAUCCCCUUGACCUGUACUGACGCUCAUGCACGAAAGCGUGGGGAGCAAACAGGAUUAGAUACCCCAGUAGUCCCUGUCUCUUAUCC
This 301-nucleotide ribosomal RNA is filed under the name uncultured bacterium. RNAcentral's name for it is "partial 16S ribosomal RNA". It matches the Rfam family "Bacterial small subunit ribosomal RNA", at positions 509 to 809 of the family's 1533-position model. The record is from RNAcentral.